This 101-nucleotide microRNA precursor is filed under the name Marmota monax (woodchuck). Lineage: Eukaryota; Metazoa; Chordata; Mammalia; Rodentia; Sciuridae. The record is from RNAcentral.
AGUGUGAUUGCUGGAUCAUAUACUAAGGAUAUAUUUUGUUCUAUAAGAAACCUCCAGACUCUUCCAAAGCAAUUGUACUAUUUUGUAUUUCCACCAGAAAC